Molecule: ribosomal RNA, 429 nt
Filed under: Pseudomonadota bacterium
Lineage: Bacteria; Pseudomonadati; Pseudomonadota
Description: Proteobacteria bacterium partial 16S ribosomal RNA
Rfam family: Bacterial small subunit ribosomal RNA
Source: RNAcentral
UGGGGUAUAUUGGACAAUGGGCGAAAGCCUGAUCCAGCCAUGCCGCGUGUGUGAAGAAGGUCUUCGGAUUGUAAAGCACUUUAAGUUGGGAGGAAGGGCAGUAAGCGAAUACCUUGCUGUUUUGACGUUACCGACAGAAUAAGCACCGGCGAACUCUGUGCCAGCAGCCGCGGUAAUACAGAGGGUGCAAGCGUUAAUCGGAAUUACUGGGCGUAAAGCGCGCGUAGGUGGUUCGUUAAGUUGAAUGUGAAAGCCCCGGGCUCAACCUGGGAACUGCAUCCAAAACUAGCGGGGUAGAUUAGGGCAGAGAGUGGUGGAAUUUCCUGUGUAGCGGUGAAAUGCGUAGAUAUAGGAAGGGACACCAGUGGCGAAGGCGACCACCUGGGCUCAUACUGACACUGAGGUGCGAAAGCGAGGGGAGCAAACAGG